Molecule: ribosomal RNA, 399 nt
Filed under: Leptodactylus fuscus (rufous frog)
Lineage: Eukaryota; Metazoa; Chordata; Amphibia; Anura; Leptodactylidae
Description: partial 16S ribosomal RNA
Rfam family: Bacterial large subunit ribosomal RNA
Source: RNAcentral
ACUUGUUCUUUAAAUGAGGACUAGUAUGAAUGGCACCACGAGAGUUAUACUGUCUCCUUUUUCUAAUCAGUGAAACUAAUCUUCCCGUGAAGAAGCGGGAAUAAAAAUAUAAGACGAGAAGACCCUAUGGAGCUUUAAACAAAUAUACAAUUGCCUCUUCCAAUAAAAAUUUCAGUAAAAGACACUUCUAUUUGGGCACUUUGAUAUAAAGUUUUAGGUUGGGGUGACCACGGAGUAAAAAAUAACCUCCGCAGUGAAAGGGGCUUUCCCCCUAAACCAAGGGCUACGACCCUAAGAAUCAAUAAAUUGACACCAAUUGACCCAAUUAAUUGAUCAAUGAACCAAGUUACCCUAGGGAUAACAGCGCAAUCCACUUCAAGAGCCCCUAUCGACAAGUGG